Molecule: unclassified non-coding RNA, 254 nt
Filed under: Patescibacteria group bacterium
Lineage: Bacteria
Description: contains 16S-23S intergenic spacer region
Rfam family: Bacterial small subunit ribosomal RNA
Source: RNAcentral
UACGAGAGCCUCAAGCGUUAUCCGGAUUUAUUGGGCGUAAAGCGUCUGCAGGUGGUUUGAUGCGUCCUCUGUUAAAUCUCACGGGCUUAACCCUGAGACCGCGGGGGAUACGGUCAGACUAGAGGCCGGGAGAGGCGAGCGGAAUUGCUGGUGUAGGGGUUAAAUCCAUUAAUAUCAGCAAGAACACCAAAUGCGAAGGCAGCUCGCUGGAACGUGCCUGACACUCAGAGACGAAAGCGUGGGGAGCAAACAGG